Molecule: non-coding RNA, 127 nt
Organism: Xylaria sp. CBS 124048
Lineage: Eukaryota; Fungi; Ascomycota; Sordariomycetes; Xylariales; Xylariaceae
Source: the annotation of a GenBank genome assembly
GCCUCUAUGGCACAGGGGUAAUGCGUGUCACUCGUAAGGAAAAAAAGGGUUUUCGGGUUUUCCCAGUCUACCCGAAGAUACUUGCGGUGUUAUGACAAGAUCCGCGGUUCGAUUCCGCGUGGAGGCA